UACGAAGGGGGCUAGCGUUGCUCGGAUUCAUUGGGCGUAAAGGGUGCGUAGGCGGCGCGGUAAGUCGGGUGUGAAAUCUCGGAGCUUAACUCCGAAACUGCAUUCGAUACUGCCGUGCUUGAGGACUGGAGAGGAGACUGGAAUUUACGGUGUAGCGGUGAAAUGCGUAGAUAUCGUAAGGAAGACCAGUGGCGAAGGCGGGUCUCUGGACAGUUCCUGACGCUGAGGCACGAAGGCCAGGGGAGCAAACAGG
This 253-nucleotide ribosomal RNA is filed under the name uncultured bacterium. RNAcentral describes it as "partial 16S ribosomal RNA". It matches the Rfam family "Bacterial small subunit ribosomal RNA", at positions 524 to 776 of the family's 1533-position model. The record is from RNAcentral.